RNAcentral lists this transfer RNA (56 nucleotides) under Oscheius chongmingensis. Its description in RNAcentral is "tRNA-Asn". Lineage: Eukaryota; Metazoa; Nematoda; Chromadorea; Rhabditida; Rhabditidae. The record is from RNAcentral.
UAAGAGCUAGUUUAAUAAAGAACUGUUGACUGUUAAUCAAAAGGUUAGUCUCUUAA